GACGAACGCUGGCGGCGUGCUUAACACAUGCAAGUCGAACGGAAAGGCCCUGCUUUUGUGGGGUGCUCGAGUGGCGAACGGGUGAGUAACACGUGAGUAACCUGCCCUUGACUUUGGGAUAACUUCAGGAAACUGGGGCUAAUACCGGAUAGGAGCUCCUGCUGCAUGGUGGGGGUUGGAAAGUUUCGGCGGUUGGGGAUGGACUCGCGGCUUAUCAGCUUGUUGGUGGGGUAGUGGCUUACCAAGGAUUUGACGGGUAGCCGGCCUGAGAGGGUGACCGGAAAAAGUGGGACUGAGAUACGGAACAGAAUCGUACGGGAGGCAGCAGGGGGGAAUAGUGCAAAAUGGGCGGAAGCCUGAGGCAGCAAAGCGGCGUGCGGGAUGAAGGACUUCGGGUUGUAAACCGAUUUCGCCUGUGACGAAGCGUGAGUGACGGUAAUGGGUAAAGAAGCACCGGCUAACUACGUG
RNAcentral lists this ribosomal RNA (468 nucleotides) under uncultured bacterium. RNAcentral describes it as "partial 16S ribosomal RNA". It matches the Rfam family "Bacterial small subunit ribosomal RNA", at positions 28 to 507 of the family's 1533-position model. The record is from RNAcentral.